GUGCCCCUCCAAAAGGCUCCAAUGGAUGAUACAGAGAUUAGCAUGAUCCUUGCGCAAGGAUGACAUGCAAAUUCAUGAAGCCUUCCAAGUUUUU
RNAcentral lists this small nuclear RNA (94 nucleotides) under Erinaceus europaeus (western European hedgehog). Lineage: Eukaryota; Metazoa; Chordata; Mammalia; Eulipotyphla; Erinaceidae. The record is from RNAcentral.